This 430-nucleotide ribosomal RNA is filed under the name uncultured bacterium. Its description in RNAcentral is "partial 16S ribosomal RNA". It matches the Rfam family "Bacterial small subunit ribosomal RNA", at positions 1108 to 1501 of the family's 1533-position model. The record is from RNAcentral.
AUUUUCUACUGUGCUUGUGUAUCUUUGCCGUUUUUCUAUUUUUCUCGCUUUCAGUUUCUGGGUGUUUGUUAAGAUUUUUUUUUUUUAUCUUUUCGUCGCUCGGGGGGGGGUGAAGUCAUACAAGUUCUUUACGUUCAGGGUUACACACCGUGGUACAAUGGGCAGGACAGAGGGUUGCAAAGUCGCAAGGCGGAGCCAAUCCCGUAAACCUGUCCUCAGUUCGGAUUGUCCUCUGCAACCCGAGGGCAUGAAGCUGGAAUCGCUAGUAAUCGCGGAUCAGCUACGCCGCGGUGAAUACGUUCCCGGACCUUGUACACACCGCCCGUCACGCCAUGGAAGCUGUGAGCGCCCGAAGUCCGUGUCGGAACCGCAAGGACCAAGCGGCCGAAGGCGAGCGCAGUGACUGGGGCGAAGUCGUAACAAGGUAAUA